AUAAUCACAGAUUGUGUUUCACUCCCUGUGAGGAUAAACUUGCUUUGUUUUCCCCUCUGUGCCUUUAUGAGGCUGCCCAACAGCCCCAGGGCCUCAUCCUUCUAGUCCUGGAUUGUCACUGUGGUGUCUUUGCUGAAAUGUCCCCACCACCUGUGGUAUGACCAGUGGGGAAGGGUAGAUUGGCAGCAGUGGUUGGUAGACUCGGGUUCCUUUUGGGACCCACCAGCAAGCCAGUGGUGUGACUGGGAAGCCACCACCCUGGGGAGCUGGGAGCUCACUGGGCUCAGGAGGAGGCCCAGUUGGCAAGGCACAGCCCCCAGGGCCAUGUGACACUACCUGCAGCCCUGUCUCCUGCUCUCUGGAGGGUGUGCCCUUGGAGCAGAUGAGGAUCUGGCUGAAGUGGACACAGAGCAGUGACUCCAUUUAGUGAAUGCUCCCAACCUGCAAGCCCUCUCCUAAGCACCUUGCUUUGGUUGUUUUUGGAGACCGUUUCAUGCUGUAGUCUAGACUACCACACUGGCACUAUGAUCCUCCUUGCCUCAGCCUCCGAAGUGCUGGGAUUACUGGCAUGCACCAGCAUACUAGGUGUCCUGUUCUAAGGCCCUUCAAGACCUGACACCUAAGAGCCAGGUGUGGUGGCGCAUACCUGUAGUCCCACCACUUAGGCUGAGGCAGAGGAAUCGCCAAGAGUUUGAGGCCAGCCUGUACUACAUAGUGAGUUCAAGGCCAGCCUAGAAUGUACAGUGAGACUCUGUCUCAAAAAACCAGAAAAAGACCUGAAACCAGAACGUGUUAUGGACGCAUCCGCAGCAUAGUUCAUGCACACCCGGGUGCAAUGUCAGGUUCCCCAAACCUGCAGAGGCUCCUAGGCUGAGAGCCCCACAGGAAGUGCUCAUCAGUGCUCAGUGGGGGACAUGUGGGGCGAGACAGCCCUGUCCUGUCUGGACAGCUUCACCUCACCCAGAGGGUGCCAGAGACCUGCGCAGUCUGAGAACUGGGCGCAAGUUGAAUAAGCAACAUCCCCUGCACCAAGGAAUGGACACAGCAGCUCCGAAAGGACAGCAGGGUAUGAACAGAUCCAGCACCCCCAGAUGGCUGGUGAGUGGGAGAAAGGAUGUUGGAGGGCAGCACCCAUGCCAUGUAUGUAAAAUAAAAC
RNAcentral lists this long non-coding RNA (1156 nucleotides) under Heterocephalus glaber (naked mole-rat). RNAcentral's name for it is "lncRNA (ENSHGLG00100049617.1)". The record is from RNAcentral. Lineage: Eukaryota; Metazoa; Chordata; Mammalia; Rodentia; Bathyergidae.